GAUGAACGCUGGCGGCGUGCCUAAUACAUGCAAGUCGAGCGAACAGAUGAGGAGCUUGCUCCUCUGACGUUAGCGGCGGACGGGUGAGUAACACGUGGAUAACCUACCUAUAAGACUGGGAUAACUUCGGGAAACCGGAGCUAAUACCGGAUAAUAUAUUGAACCGCAUGGUUCAAUAGUGAAAGACGGUUUUGCUGGCACUUAUAGAUGGAUCCGCGCCGCAUUAGCUAGUUGGUAAGGUAACGGCUUACCAAGGCAACGAUGCGUAGCCGACCUGAGAGGGUGAUCGGCCACACUGGAACUGAGCCACGGUCCAGACUCCUACGGGAGGCAGCAGUAGGGAAUCUUCCGCAAUGGGCGAAAGCCUGACGGAGCAACGCCGCGUGAGUGAUGAAGGUCUUCGGAUCGUAAAACUCUGUUAUUAGGGAAGAACAAAUGUGUAAGUAACUAUGCACGUCUUGACGGUACCUAAUCAGAAAGCCACGGCUAACUACGUG
RNAcentral lists this ribosomal RNA (497 nucleotides) under uncultured bacterium. RNAcentral describes it as "partial 16S ribosomal RNA". It matches the Rfam family "Bacterial small subunit ribosomal RNA", at positions 28 to 507 of the family's 1533-position model. The record is from RNAcentral.